This 232-nucleotide ribosomal RNA is filed under the name uncultured bacterium. Its description in RNAcentral is "partial 16S ribosomal RNA". It matches the Rfam family "Bacterial small subunit ribosomal RNA", at positions 118 to 350 of the family's 1533-position model. The record is from RNAcentral.
UGGGCAACCUGCCCCUCUCUCUGGGAUAACCCCGGGAAACCGGAGCUAAUACCGGAUACUCCGGCUGGAUCGCAUGGUCCGGCCGGGAAAGGUCCGCCGGAGAGGGAUGGGCCCGCGGCCUAUCAGCUUGUUGGUGAGGUAAUGGCUCACCAAGGCGAUGACGGGUAGCCGGCCUGAGAGGGUGACCGGCCACACUGGGACUGAGACACGGCCCAGACUCCUACGGGAGGCA